RNAcentral lists this ribosomal RNA (288 nucleotides) under Adalia bipunctata (two-spotted ladybird beetle). RNAcentral describes it as "partial 28S ribosomal RNA". It matches the Rfam family "Eukaryotic large subunit ribosomal RNA", at positions 663 to 919 of the family's 3401-position model. The record is from RNAcentral. RNAcentral also lists the same sequence under 1 other name. Lineage: Eukaryota; Metazoa; Arthropoda; Insecta; Coleoptera; Coccinellidae.
GGACCAAGGAGUCUAGCGUGUGCGCGAGUCAUUGGGAAUAACUAAACCUAAAGGCGAAAUGAAAGUGAACGUCCGCUUUAUGCGGACCGAGGGAAGACUGUCGAUCUCCACGAUCGACAAGCAUUCCCGGGGCGUCUCGUUCUCAUUGCGAGAUGAGGCGCACCAAGAGCGUACACGCUGGGACCCGAAAGAUGGUGAACUAUGCCUGGUCAGGACGAAGUCAGGGGAAACCCUGAUGGAGGUCCGUAGCGAUUCUGACGUGCAAAUCGAUCGUCGGAACUGGGUAUA